UGAAAUGACUCUUCUUAGUCAGUUGGUUCC
Molecule: non-coding RNA, 30 nt
Filed under: Mus musculus (house mouse)
Lineage: Eukaryota; Metazoa; Chordata; Mammalia; Rodentia; Muridae
Source: RNAcentral